AGAGUUUGAUCCUGGCUCAGAGUGAACGCUGGCGGCAGGCCUAACACAUGCAAGUCGAGCGGCAGCGCGUCCGACCACCCUCGGGUGGUCGGAUGGCGGCGAGCGGCGGACGGGUGAGGAAUGCAUCGGAAUCUGCCUCGUUGUGGGGGAUAACGUAGGGAAACUUACGCUAAUACCGCAUACGACCUACGGGUGAAAGUGGGGGACCUUCGGGCCUCACGCGAUGAGAUGAGCCGAUGCCGGAUUAGCUAGUUGGCGGGGUAAAGGCCCACCAAGGCGACGAUCCGUAGCUGGUCUGAGAGGAUGAUCAGCCACACUGGAACUGAGACACGGUCCAGACUCCUACGGGAGGCAGCAGUGGGGAAUAUUGGACAAUGGGGGCAACCCUGAUCCAGCCAUGCCGCGUGUGUGAAGAAGGCCUUCGGGUUGUAAAGCACUUUUGUUGGGGAAGAAACCGGCCGGGUUAAUACCCUGGUUGAAUGACGGUACCCAAAGAAUAAGCACCGGCUAACUUCGUGCCAGCAGCCGCGGUAAUACGAAGGGUGCAAGCGUUACUCGGAAUUACUGGGCGUAAAGCGUGCGUAGGCGGUUUGUUAAGUCUGCUGUGGAAGCCCUGGGC
This 619-nucleotide ribosomal RNA is filed under the name uncultured bacterium. Its description in RNAcentral is "bacterial SSU rRNA". It matches the Rfam family "Bacterial small subunit ribosomal RNA", at positions 8 to 608 of the family's 1533-position model. The record is from RNAcentral.